This 423-nucleotide ribosomal RNA is filed under the name uncultured bacterium. RNAcentral describes it as "bacterial SSU rRNA". It matches the Rfam family "Bacterial small subunit ribosomal RNA", at positions 207 to 622 of the family's 1533-position model. The record is from RNAcentral.
AAGACCUUGCACUUUUGGAGCGGCCGAUGUCUGAUUAGCUAGUUGGUGGGGUAAUGGCCUACCAAAGCUUCGAUCAGUAGCUGGUCUGAGAGGACGGCCAGCCACACUGGGACUGAGACACGGCCCAGACUCCUACGGGAGGCAGCAGUGGGGAAUUUUGGACAAUGGGCGCAAGCCUGAUCCAGCCAUGCCGCGUGAGUGAAGAAGGCCUUCGGGUUGUAAAGCUCUUUCAGCCGGGAAGAAAAGGUUGCGACUAAUAAUCGCAAUCCAUGACGGUACCGAAAGAAGAAGCACCGGCUAACUACGUGCCAGCAGCCGCGGUAAUACGUAGGGUGCGAGCGUUAAUCGGAAUUACUGGGCGUAAAGGGUGCGCGGGCGGUUUUGUAAGUCAGAUGUGAAAUCCCCGGGCUUAACCUGGGAACU